This 464-nucleotide ribosomal RNA is filed under the name uncultured Verrucomicrobiota bacterium. RNAcentral's name for it is "uncultured Verrucomicrobia bacterium partial 16S ribosomal RNA". The record is from RNAcentral. Lineage: Bacteria; Pseudomonadati; Verrucomicrobiota.
GACUACAGGGGUAUCUAAUCCCGUUUGCUCCCCUGGCUUUCGUGCCUCAGUGUCAGGAAUCAUCCAGAGACUCGCCUUCGCCACAGGUGUUCCUCUCGAUAUCUACGCAUUUCACUGCUACACCGAGAAUUCCAGUCUCCCCUCUGAUCCUCUAGCAGGAUAGUUUUCGAGGCAAUUUUCGGGUUGAGCCCGAAGAUUUCACCCUGAACUUACCCUACCACCUACGCACCCUUUACGCCCAGUAAAUCCGAACAACGCUUGGGACCUCUGUAUUACCGCGGCUGCUGGCACAGAGUUAGCCGUCCCUUCCUCUUCUGCUACUUUCAAUCCGAGAUCUUUUAAAUCCCAGAGUUUAUUCGCAAAUGACAGGGGUUUACGGGCCGAAGCCAUUCAUCCCCCACGCGGCGUCGCUCCAUCAGGCUUUCGCCCAUUGUGAAAAAUUCUCGACUGCAGCCCCCCGUAGG